AUACACACACACACACACACACACAGACAUACAAACAUACACACACACAGACACACACACGCACACACAGACAUACAAACAUACACACACACAGACACACACACACACACACACACACACACAGACAUACAAACAUACACACACACAGACACACACACAUACACACAGACACACAAACAUACAUGCACACACACACACAGACACACACGCACACACAGACACACACACACACACACACAGACAUACAAACAUACACAGACACACACACACACAUACAUACAAACAUACACACACACAGAUAUACAAACAUACACGCACACACACACAGACACACACACACACACGGACACACAGACAUACAAACAUACACACAUACAGACACACACAGACACAUACACACACACGCACACACAGACACACACACAUACAGACACACACACACACAGAAACACACACAGACACACACAGACAUACAAACAUACACACACACACACAAAUACACACACACAGACAUACACACACACAAAUACACACACAGACACACACACAAAGACAUACAAACAUACACACACAAAUAUGCGCACACACACACAGAAACACACACAGACACAUAAACCCACACAAACACAGAAACACACACAUGAACAUACACACAAAUAUACACACACACACAAAUAUACACACAGAAACACACACAGACACAUAAACCCAUACAGACACACAAACACACACAUGAACAUACACACAAACAUACAUACACACAAAUAUACACACACACACACAGAAACCCACACAGACACAGAAACCCACACAGACACACAAACACACACACAUACAUGCCCUUCCUCUCUCAUGUGUCUGCAAGUUUCAGCUCAAAUGUCAGCUCAGUGUUCACUCUCUCCUUACCUUCUCCUCACUCUCCCCUCGUCCGUCUUCUUCUCUACAUUUCUCUCUUUGCUUUUCUCUUUUUCUACCUCACAUCCUUUAUUUCACACUGUUUCUCCUACUUUGCCGUCUUUACGUACUCCUGCAUUUCUCUCAUCCUGA
Long non-coding RNA from Pygocentrus nattereri (red-bellied piranha), 1047 nucleotides. The record is from Ensembl. NCBI's taxonomy places the organism in Eukaryota, Metazoa, Chordata, Actinopteri, Characiformes, Serrasalmidae.